GACAGAGGGUGCAAACGUUGUUCGGAAUUACUGGGCGUAAAGCGCGUGUAGGCGGCCCUGUAAGUCGGGUGUGAAAUCCCACGGCUCAACCGUGGAAGUGCAUUCGAAACUACAGGGCUAGAGUUCUGGAGAGGAAGGUGGAAUGCUUGGUGUAGAGGUGAAAUUCGUAGAUAUCAAGCGGAACACCCGUGGCGAAGGCGGCCACCUGGGCCGACACUGACGCUGAGGCGCGAAGGCGUGGGGAGCGAACGGG
Molecule: ribosomal RNA, 253 nt
Filed under: uncultured bacterium
Lineage: Bacteria
Description: partial 16S ribosomal RNA
Rfam family: Bacterial small subunit ribosomal RNA
Source: RNAcentral